RNAcentral lists this ribosomal RNA (497 nucleotides) under uncultured bacterium. RNAcentral describes it as "partial 16S ribosomal RNA". It matches the Rfam family "Bacterial small subunit ribosomal RNA", at positions 28 to 507 of the family's 1533-position model. The record is from RNAcentral.
GAUGAACGCUGGCGGCGUGCCUAAUACAUGCAAGUCGAGCGAACAGAUGAGGAGCUUGCUCCUCUGACGUUAGCGGCGGACGGGUGAGUAACACGUGGAUAACCUACCUAUAAGACUGGGAUAACUUCGGGAAACCGGAGCUAAUACCGGAUAAUAUAUUGAACCGCAUGGUUCAAUAGUGAAAGACGGUUUUGCUGUCACUUAUAGAUGGAUCCGCGCCGCAUUAGCUAGUUGGUAAGGUAACGGCUUACCAAGGCAACGAUGCGUAGCCGACCUGAGAGGGUGAUCGGCCAAAAUGGAACUGAGACACGGUCCAGACUCCUACGGGAGGCAGCAGUAGGGAAUCUUCCGCAAUGGGAGAAAGCCUGACGGAGCAACGCCGCGUGAGUGAUGAAGGUCUUCGGAUCGUAAAACUCUGUUAUUAGGGAAGAACAAAUGUGUAAGUAACUAUGCACGUCUUGACGGUACCUAAUCAGAAAGCCACGGCUAACUACGUG